This 106-nucleotide small nuclear RNA is filed under the name Dasypus novemcinctus (nine-banded armadillo). The record is from RNAcentral. Lineage: Eukaryota; Metazoa; Chordata; Mammalia; Cingulata; Dasypodidae.
GUGCUUGCUUCGGCAGCACAUAUGCUAAAAUUGGAACAAUACAAGAAGAUUAGCAUGGCCCCUGCGCAAGGAUGACAUGUAAUUUCAUGAAGCAUUCUAUAUUUUU